This 301-nucleotide ribosomal RNA is filed under the name uncultured bacterium. RNAcentral describes it as "partial 16S ribosomal RNA". It matches the Rfam family "Bacterial small subunit ribosomal RNA", at positions 509 to 807 of the family's 1533-position model. The record is from RNAcentral.
CAGUCGCCACGGUAAUACGUAGGUGGCAAGCGUUGUCCGGAAUUAUUGGGCGUAAAGGGCUCGCAGGCGGUUUCUUAAGUCUGAUGUGAAAGCCCCCGGCUCAACCGUGGAGGGUCAUUGGAAACUGGGAAACUUGAGUGCAGAAGAGGAGAGUGGAAUUCCACGUGUAGCGGUGAAAUGCGUAGAGAUGUGGAGGAACACCAGUGGCGAAGGCGACUCUCUGGUCUGUAACUGACGCUGAGGAGCGAAAGCGUGGGGAGCGAACAGGAUUAGAUACCCCUGUAGUCCCUGUCUCUUAUAC